Molecule: non-coding RNA, 338 nt
Organism: Paramuricea clavata
Lineage: Eukaryota; Metazoa; Cnidaria; Anthozoa; Malacalcyonacea; Plexauridae
Source: the annotation of a GenBank genome assembly
GCGCCUGACAGCACACACUCUGUUCUUUACACGUUGGAAAAUAGGCAACUCCAGCUUUUAACUUAUACGCGCAGAGGGGAUGGGAAGUAAGGUAUCAUGUUGCUGAUUAUGCUGAAAAAUUCAAUAAAAACUGCCGAAACAACCGAAAUAUUUCAAUAUUUACAAGUAUAAGCUAUCAGUCUGUUUACACGGGCACUAUUUUUUAUUUUUCAGCAUAAUCAGCAAUAUGAUACUUACUUGGCAUCACCCCCUGCACGCAUAAACUAAUAGCUGGAAUUGCCGAUUUCCAGGCUGGGCAAUUUCAAAAGACAAACUUGAUUUCCAGCGAAUUCUCUCAC